CCAGCGCCUACUUGCUGACAAGCUGCCCAACUGCCAUGGAAUGUUUAGGAGAGGGGAAAGAUGCUCAAAUUGGCCUUUCACUUGGAUGGAUCUAGGAGCCGUAGGAAAGAGAGAACAUGAAUCUUGAGCACAUUCAAAUGUGUCUGCAGAUCUGCCCAAUGGACUGGACAGAAAGGAGAAAAUUGAGGAAUAUGUUUGGAAGAAAGUUCCAGAGCCUAGAGAUCAGUGGGAAGACUGGUUCCAAGAAAAGUGUGAAGUUAGCCUGGCCAUUGUCUACCACAGCACCACCUCCACCCUUGGAGCACCGGUGACGUCUGAGAAGGGAAAGCCAGGCCCGUGGUAUAAUUGAGGAAUCUGACUGUCCUGGUGUGGAAAACCCCUACCAAGGAGCUGGAUAAAAAACAUAGAGGAACUUAUGGCCAGCCGGAGAGAAGAGCCCCAUUAGUUCGGGAGUAGGGAGAACAGCAUCCAGUUGACUGUCAAGAACACGGAAACAGGAGGAGCAGCCGUCUCUGAAAGAAUCAAGCUCUGAAAUUAAGAGAAGACAUAGUUUGAAGGAAAGCAGACACUCUUUGGGAUCAACGUAUUGGGGCUUCUACUCCUGAUAGGUCUACGGUCUUAGACAAGUUAACCCGCAUCCUUGAGUAAACUGGAUAUCAUAACACCCACCAUCCAGGACAAUUGUGGAGGAGACACUGUAAAAUGUGUCACAUUAAAUGGAGAAAAUUUUUAAGAUUCCUCUGCCUGUUCCUUGAUUUUGUAGUGGACCUUGAUUGUCUAUGAUUGAGAGCACUCUUGCAAGGUGGUCUUUGCAGCAAGAAAGCUCAUGGAAAAGAAGUCAUUUUGAGUGGAGAUGCAAUAAACUAAUUUAUUAUUUUGGUUCUUUCAUUAAUCUUACUAAUCCAAGGGUGAUGCUUCAGGGCAAGGAUUAACUUUGCAAACCUAGGUAACAGUUCUCUGACAUAUGAAAAUCCAGAGAGGAAAGGUUUCUUGAGCAACAUUUCCCAAACAAAUAAGAUGUAGGGCACAGCCCCAAACAUCUAUCCUUGCAACUUCAUUGAGGUGUUGGCUAAUGAAUUUGCAGACAAAGGGAAAGUCAAUGGCUCUCCUUUAUCUCAUUGUUUCUCAGGACUCCCUUUCUUUCUCCCUACUCUGAGCGGGUACUGCAAAGGUGUGAUUUUUGAAGAGGUUAUCUGGA
Molecule: long non-coding RNA, 1198 nt
Filed under: Equus caballus (horse)
Lineage: Eukaryota; Metazoa; Chordata; Mammalia; Perissodactyla; Equidae
Description: lncRNA (ENSECAG00000046059.1)
Source: RNAcentral